CAUUUUUGGUGCUCCGUUCUCCUGCUAGUUUAGGUAGGACACCAUGGGAUGUGCGGAAAGGAAUUUACUCCAUCAGAAUAAUGGGCUAGACACCCGUGAUUUAGAAUAAUCUGCCUUUACUCUGACUGCCAGAAGCAAAAGGAAAUUUUCUCUGGAAAAAACUUGCACCCGCAUACUCCGCCUUUUCUCCUGUUUCGACAGACAGCCUCUCUCUGCUCCGAACUAAGGCCAAGCUCAGCAUUUGUGCACUACGUCCCAUCCCCUCUUACUGAGAAGAUUAGCCCUGAGCUAACAUCUGCUGCCAAUCCUCCUCUUUUGGCUGAGGAAGACUGGCCCUGAGCGCACAUCCGUGCCCAUCUUCCUCUACUUUAUGUGUGGGACGCCUACCACAGCAUGGCUUGCCAAGUGGUGCCAUGUCCGCACCAAGGAUCCGAACCAGCGAACCCCAUGCCGCUGAAGCGAAACAUGCGUACUUAACCACUGCACCACCGGGCCAGCCCCACAUCAAUUAUUUUAUAUUGUGUC
Molecule: long non-coding RNA, 525 nt
Filed under: Equus caballus (horse)
Lineage: Eukaryota; Metazoa; Chordata; Mammalia; Perissodactyla; Equidae
Description: lncRNA (ENSECAG00000049944.1)
Source: RNAcentral